AGUAUAGGAAUACAGUCUAAGUUCGCGACAUCGUGUCGCAACGACUGCAUGUCCCACUUCCUGUAGG
Molecule: small RNA, 67 nt
Organism: Psychrobacillus sp. FJAT-21963
Lineage: Bacteria; Bacillati; Bacillota; Bacilli; Caryophanales; Bacillaceae
Rfam family: Bacillaceae-1 RNA
Source: Rfam